AUGUGCAUUUUGUAGGAAGAAAACUGUGAAUGGAAAAAGGAGAAGGGGAGAGAAACGGGGGAAAUCUGGAUAAUACAUUAAAGUAACCAUAAUUUUGGAGAUGCAUUCAUCUUAUUGAAAAUAUAUUUCCUCAUGGUUGUGAUUCCUCUUCACUCUUUUGAAUUUGGAAGGAUGGCAUACACAUCUGAAAAAUACCACUACUUCCUUCAUUGGACUGCAAGGUAUUUCUGUUUGGAAAAGUAAUGGAGUCCAGUCAACUUCAUUGAUCGCCAAGGACUGUCAAAAUUAUAAAACUUGCUGUGGAGCUCUGACAUGCCAGAAGCCGCUAGAAAAAGAAGUUUGACAUUCAGAAACUUAUCAAGAGGUUCUACUCUUUGGAUAGAGACCAAAAUCAUACUUUGAAAAAGCCUGACAGGUUUCUUCGGAAAAGUGGCCAUCCAUGGAAUGAAUGAAAUGUUCUCUUUCUAUUCCAAUCCAACUUAGAAAUAAUGUUUCAUUCAAGAUAAGGCUCGUGGCUUAGGAGAUUGUGACCUGGCUUGCAUCAUUCUAAGACUUCUAUCG
This 561-nucleotide long non-coding RNA is filed under the name Homo sapiens (human). RNAcentral's name for it is "SOX2 overlapping transcript". The stretch from base 404 to 472 matches the Rfam family "SOX2 overlapping transcript exon 2". Lineage: Eukaryota; Metazoa; Chordata; Mammalia; Primates; Hominidae. The record is from RNAcentral.